RNA transcript from Glycine soja, 1901 nucleotides. It is a transcript of the gene named choline/ethanolaminephosphotransferase 1-like, with no coding region annotated. Lineage: Eukaryota; Viridiplantae; Streptophyta; Magnoliopsida; Fabales; Fabaceae. The transcript has 21 exons. The record is from RefSeq and is a predicted model, not a curated record.
GGGCACAAAUACAUUACAAUUAAUUUAACAGACCGAAUUAAGCUAAAUUAAAUUGGAGGCCUUUGCUUUCUCCCAACCAUUUUCAUCAUCAGGCCAUACAAAGAGCAAGCCCUGAGACACCAUUGCAGAGAGAGAGAGAGAGUUGAGACUCGAGCCCAAACCUAGCCCAUCCUCAACUGGCCCAUACUAUGCUCCAAUCUCACUGAAGCCCUAAUCCCUUUCCGUUCACUUCAUUCCUCUCUGAAACCCUAAGAACACAGAAGCCACGCUGUUCUUUCAAAUCGUAACCGAAGAAUGAAGAUGGUGCGCUGCUGUCGGUGCUUCGCCUGAGUCUCAUUCCGUUUGCGCCCACUAUCACAGGUUGUGCUGAGGCUUAACUGGUUCUUGAAGCAUAUUUCAGAGUUUUAUCAGAGAACAAAUGGGUUAUAUUGGGACUCACGGUGUUGCAGCUCUGCACAGAUAUAAAUAUAGUGGAGUAGAUCAUUCCUAUGUGGCCAAAUAUGUACUACAACCCUUUUGGAGUCGCUUUGUUAAUUUUUUCCCCCUAUGGAUGCCUCCAAACAUGAUAACUCUUAUGGGAUUUAUGUUCUUACUACUGUCUGCAUUGCUUGGUUAUAUAUACUCCCCACAAUUGGACACAGCUCCUCCAAGAUGGGUUCAUUUUGCUCAUGGACUACUUCUGUUUUUAUACCAGACAUUUGAUGCUGUUGAUGGGAAGCAAGCUAGACGAACAAAUUCCUCAAGCCCAUUGGGGGAGCUCUUUGAUCAUGGGUGUGAUGCACUUGCUUGCACAUUUGAAGCAUUGGCUUUUGGGAGCACAGCCAUGUGUGGAAGAACUACUUUCUGGUGGUGGUUAAUAUCUGCAAUUACAUUUUAUGGUGCAACCUGGGAGCAUUAUUUCACCAAUACACUUAUACUGCCUGUUAUAAAUGGGCCUACAGAGGGUCUUAUGAUAAUAUACAUCUGUCACUUUUUCACUGCUAUCGUGGGUGCUGAGUGGUGGGUUCAGCAAUUUGGAAAGUCUUUGCCAUUCUUAAAUUGGCUUCCUUAUCUUGGGGGAAUCCCGACAUUCAAAGCUAUAUUGUGUUUAAUGAUAGCUUUUGGUGUUACACCAACAGUCACAUGCAAUGUUAGUAAUGUUUACAAGGUUGUGAAGGGAAAGAAUGGAAGCAUGCCACUUGCAUUGGCAAUGCUUUACCCAUUUGUUGUACUUGUGGGAGGAGUGCUUGUGUGGGAUUAUUUGUCACCAUCAGACAUCAUGGGGAAAUAUCCACAUUUAGUUGUUAUAGGAACAGGACUUACUUUCGGAUAUCUUGUGGGGAGGAUGAUUUUGGCACACUUAUGUGAUGAACCUAAGGGUCUGAAAACUGGGAUGUGCAUGUCCCUCAUGUUUCUCCCAUUGGCCAUUGCCAAUGUACUUGCAUCCAGGCUAAAUGAUGGGGUUCCUUUAGUAGAUGAGAGACUAGUUCUUCUUGGUUACUGUGCAUUUUCAGUGACACUAUACUUGCAUUUUGCCACAUCAGUCAUUCAUGAAAUUACCAAUGCCCUGGGAAUAUAUUGUUUCAGGAUAACUAGGAAGGAAGCUUGAAUCCACCCAAGAUUUCCUUUAGCUUGCAAGUCGAGCAAAAUAUUGGCAAGGACAUAUGGUGGCCUUCUAGAAUUUUUGUGGUAGAAAGUGCAGAAGAUUCUGUCACCAUGUUGUAUGACGACUAAUAGCAGAAUUUGAGGUAUAAAUAAAAGCUCCUAAGUUCUUCUGACAUGUUUUUAUUUGAUUUUCAACAUUCAUGUCUGUAAUUUGUAGCUGGUUUGUUGCAGCUUUUACUUCUCAUUUGUUAUAGUUGGUUUGUCAAUAUCUUGUAAAAAAAGAAUCACAAUCAAUUGGUAUGAAAUUUUGUUGCUUA